GCAUUAGUGGUUCAGUGGUAGAAUUCUCGCUCUCCAUGCAGGAGAGCCGGGUUCAAUUCCCAACCAAUGCA
RNAcentral lists this transfer RNA (71 nucleotides) under Loxodonta africana (African savanna elephant). It matches the Rfam family "tRNA". From Rfam's summary of the family: Transfer RNA (tRNA) molecules are approximately 80 nucleotides in length. Their secondary structure includes four short double-helical elements and three loops (D, anti-codon, and T loops). The record is from Rfam by way of RNAcentral. Lineage: Eukaryota; Metazoa; Chordata; Mammalia; Proboscidea; Elephantidae.